RNAcentral lists this ribosomal RNA (479 nucleotides) under uncultured bacterium. RNAcentral describes it as "bacterial SSU rRNA". It matches the Rfam family "Bacterial small subunit ribosomal RNA", at positions 25 to 518 of the family's 1533-position model. The record is from RNAcentral.
CAGGAUGAACGCUGGCGGCGUGCUUAACACAUGCAAGUCGAACGAAGUUUAAGGAGCUUGCUUUUAAACUUAGUGGCGGACGGGUGAGUAACGCGUGGGUAACCUGCCUUUCACAGGGGGAUAACAGUUAGAAAUGACUGCUAAUACCGCAUAAGCGCACAGGACGGCAUCGUCUAGUGUGAAAAAACUCCGGUGGUGAAAGAUGGACCCGCGUCUGAUUAGCUAGUUGGUGAGGUAACGGCUCACCAAGGCGACGAUCAGUAGCCGGCCUGAGAGGGUGAACGGCCACAUUGGGACUGAGACACGGCCCAAACUCCUACGGGAGGCAGCAGUGGGGAAUAUUGCACAAUGGGGGAAACCCUGAUGCCAGCGACGCCGCGUGAGUGAAGAAGUAUUUCGGUAUGUAAAGCUCUAUCAGCAGGGAAGAAAAUGACGGUACCUGACUAAGAAGCCCCGGCUAACUACGUGCCAGCCGCUGC